Salvelinus sp. IW2-2015 is the source of this 899-nucleotide non-coding RNA. Lineage: Eukaryota; Metazoa; Chordata; Actinopteri; Salmoniformes; Salmonidae. The record is from RefSeq and is a predicted model, not a curated record.
AGAUUAUUUUCAAGACUUUCUACGACCUGGGAUGCACCCCAAAUAGCAACUAGUUCCCGAUGUAGUGGAGCAUUAUGGACACACACAAUAUACCAUCUUACUAUCCCGAUUAGUGGAGCAUUAUGGACACACACAAUAUACCAUCUAAUCAGAUAUGCAUUCUCUAGAGUGAAAAUACCAUCUUUCAUGUCAGAUAUGCAAAGAGACUGAGCUAGAGUGACCUAGAGGUAGUUGUAGGUCUAUGUUACUCUGCUGUAGAGAGACUGAGCUAGAGUGACCUAGAGGUAGUGGUAGGGUCUAUGUUACUCUGCUGUAGAGAGACUGAGCUAGAGUGACCUAGAGGUAGGUUAUGUUACUCUUCUGUAGAGAGACUGAGCUAGAGUGACCUAGAGGUAGUUGUAGGUCUAUGUUACUCUGCUGUAGAGUGACUGAGCUAGAGUGACCUAGAGGUAGUUGUAGGUCUAUGUUACUCUGCUGUAGAGAGACUGAGCUAGAGUGACCUAGAGGUAGUGGUAGGUCUAUGUUACUCUGCUGUAGAGAGACUGAGCUAGAGUGACCUAGAGGUCGUUGUAGGUCUAUGUUACUCUGCUGUAGAAAGACUGAGCUAGAGUGACCUAGAGGUAGUUGUAGGUCUAUGUUACUCUGCUGUAGAGAGACUGAGCUAGAGUGACCUAGAGGUAGUGGUAGGUCUAUGUUACUCUGCUGUAGAGAGACUGAGCUAGAGUGACCUAGAGGUAGUGGUAGGUCUAUGUUACUCUGCCGUAGAGAGACUGAGCUAGAGUGACCUAGAGGUAGUGGUAGGUCUAUGUUACUCUGCCGUAGAGAGACUGAGCUAGAGUGACCUAGAGGGAGUGGUAGGUCUAUGUUACUCUGCUGUAGAGAGACUGAGCUAGAGUGAC